CAGAUCCCUUGGAUGGACAAUAAUAGCCCUACCACCAGACUAAUUAAGUGGUUGUGUCAAAAUUGACAAAACAGCACAUCCACAAGUAUGAUAGAAGCUGGUGCGCUGGAGGCAAAAUUCCUAAAAAAAUUAUAAUAUGCACUGAUGGGGAUUUGAUCCCUGGACCUCUCAUUUGAAAAUAAGGUUGCUAGCCACUGCACUAAACUCUGUUACUAGCAUGAAAGGAAUUCGAAUGUAUAUCAACUAGCCAAGACGGGAACAAAUAUGAGCUGGUGCACCACAAAAGAAAAUGAAACAUAAAAUCUGGGGCGCACGGGAGUGGAACGGGGACCUCCAUCACAGCAGUUGGCUGCGCUAGCCAACUCAGCUAGCCUACAACUCGUUGACACAACCAGUGCCCACUAUAGACAACAUGUCCUUGCUAGAACGGAUCUAGAGGAGACUGAAUUCAGAUCGGGAGGACUGCUCACAACGGGGAUGCAGAGGCCGACGGCGCGAUGCUUCGGCGAAGAUGGCGGACUCGGAGGCCGGGAAUGGAUAGGGGGGAACGGUCGGGUGCGGAUCCGGCUGGAAGGGCUACGACGAUGAG
This 589-nucleotide long non-coding RNA is filed under the name Hordeum vulgare. RNAcentral describes it as "long non-coding RNA (HVUL_LNC005775)". The record is from RNAcentral. Lineage: Eukaryota; Viridiplantae; Streptophyta; Magnoliopsida; Poales; Poaceae.